GCAUGCAGCCAUAUCACUCUGCAACUCACAACCGGCAACCCACUGAAGCUCAGCAGGUGUGAGCCUGGUCAGUACCUGGAUGGGAGACCUCCUGGGUAAAACUAAGGUUGCUGCUGGAA
This 119-nucleotide ribosomal RNA is filed under the name Lepisosteus oculatus (spotted gar). The record is from RNAcentral. Lineage: Eukaryota; Metazoa; Chordata; Actinopteri; Semionotiformes; Lepisosteidae.